UCCCGGGCGGGGCGGCCCUCGGGCCGUCCCUGCUCGCCGAGGCCGCCGCGGUGGCUGCGGCCGCCGGUCACCCGGUGCCCGAGGCC
This 86-nucleotide transfer RNA is filed under the name Streptomyces xanthophaeus. RNAcentral describes it as "tRNA-Gly". The record is from RNAcentral. Lineage: Bacteria; Bacillati; Actinomycetota; Actinomycetes; Kitasatosporales; Streptomycetaceae.